Gossypium raimondii (Peruvian cotton) is the source of this 141-nucleotide non-coding RNA. The record is from Rfam. Lineage: Eukaryota; Viridiplantae; Streptophyta; Magnoliopsida; Malvales; Malvaceae.
UAUUAAAAAUUUCAUCUAUUUUUACUGUGAAAAACUAGUGUGGCUGAUGGAAUAAUCAGAUAGUUACACGUGAUCACGUGUACCUCAUUCUGACGUACAAGAGCUAGUUUUUAACAAUAGAAAUAGAUGAAGUUUUUAGUA